GCCGAAUUCAUUACUAUGUCAAAACGACUCUCGGCAACGGAUAUCUCGGCUCUCGCAUCGAUGAAGAACGUAGCGAAAUGCGAUACUUGGUGUGAAUUGCAGAAUCCCGUGAACCAUCGAGUCUUUGAACGCAAGUUGCGCCCGAAGCC
Molecule: ribosomal RNA, 149 nt
Filed under: Spiraea japonica var. glabra
Lineage: Eukaryota; Viridiplantae; Streptophyta; Magnoliopsida; Rosales; Rosaceae
Also listed under: 7 other names
Description: 5.8S ribosomal RNA
Rfam family: 5.8S ribosomal RNA (bases 26-149)
About the family: 5.8S ribosomal RNA (5.8S rRNA) is a component of the large subunit of the eukaryotic ribosome. It is transcribed by RNA polymerase I as part of the 45S precursor that also contains 18S and 28S rRNA. Functionally, it is thought that 5.8S rRNA may be involved in ribosome translocation.
Source: RNAcentral